AGAGAUACCUUAGUGCCUUCGGGAACUGUGAGACAGGUGCUGCAUGGCUGUCGUCAGCUCGUGUUGUGAAAUGUUGGGUUAAGUCCCGCAACGAGCGCAACCCUUAUCCUUUGUUGCCAGCGGUUCGGCCGGGAACUCAAAGGAGACUGCCAGUGAUAAACUGGAGGAAGGUGGGGAUGACGUCAAGUCAUCAUGGCCCUUACGAGUAGGGCUACACACGUGCUACAAUGGCGCAUACAAAGAGAAGCGACCUCGCGAGAGCAAGCGGACCUCAUAAAGUGCGUCGUAGUCCGGAUCGGAGUCUGCAACUCGACUCCGUGAAGUCGGAAUCGCUAGUAAUCGUAGAUCAGAAUGCUACGGUGAAUACGUUCCCGGGCCUUGUACACACCGCCCGUCACACCAUGGGAGUGGGUUGCAAAAGAAGUAGGUAGCUUAACCUUCGGGAGGGCGCUUACCACUUUGUGAUUCAUGACUGGGGUGAAGUCGUAAC
RNAcentral lists this ribosomal RNA (490 nucleotides) under Buttiauxella sp. ARE_As27_3. Its description in RNAcentral is "bacterial SSU rRNA". It matches the Rfam family "Bacterial small subunit ribosomal RNA", at positions 1002 to 1492 of the family's 1533-position model. Lineage: Bacteria; Pseudomonadati; Pseudomonadota; Gammaproteobacteria; Enterobacterales; Enterobacteriaceae. The record is from RNAcentral.